AUCACUGUGGUGCAGUGGGUCAGUGCAUCUGGCUGUUAACCGGAAGGUUGGUGGUUCAAGCCCACCCAGGGAUG
Non-coding RNA from Podarcis lilfordi (Lilford's wall lizard), 74 nucleotides. The record is from the annotation of a GenBank genome assembly. NCBI's taxonomy places the organism in Eukaryota, Metazoa, Chordata, Lepidosauria, Squamata, Lacertidae.